Molecule: ribosomal RNA, 478 nt
Filed under: uncultured Eubacteriales bacterium
Lineage: Bacteria; Bacillati; Bacillota; Clostridia; Eubacteriales
Description: bacterial SSU rRNA
Rfam family: Bacterial small subunit ribosomal RNA
Source: RNAcentral
CAGGACGAACGCUGGCGGCGCACAUAAGACAUGCAAGUCGAAACGGACUUAACCAUUAGUUUACUAUUGGAGCGGUUAGUGGCGGACUGGUGAGUAACACGUAAGCAACCUGCCUAUCAGAGGGGGAACAACAGUUAGAAAUGACUGCUAAUACCGCAUAUGCCUUAAUCUUCACAUGGAGAUAGAGGGAAAGGAGCAAUCCGCUGAUAGAUGGGCUUGCGUCUGAUUAGCUAGUAGGUGGGGUAAAGGCCUACCUAGGCAACGAUCAGUAGCCGGACUGAGAGGUUGAACGGCCACAUUGGGACUGAGAUACGGCCCAGACUCCUACGGGAGGCAGCAGUCGGGAAUAUUGCGCAAUGGAGGAAACUCUGACGCAGUGACGCCGCGUGCAGGAAGAAGGUUUUCGGAUUGUAAACUAUUGUCGUUAGGGAAGAAAAAGGACAGUACCUAAGGAGGAAGCUCCGGCUAACUACGUGCC